UUCUUAUCAAGAGAGACCGAGGGAUUGGCCCUAUGACGUCUCAGCAACCAACCUGUUCAGGUACGGUGCUAAUUCCUUUAGGUGUUCAUUUCCCUAGAAGAUAAGAA
Sporosarcina psychrophila is the source of this 107-nucleotide non-coding RNA. Lineage: Bacteria; Bacillati; Bacillota; Bacilli; Caryophanales; Caryophanaceae. The record is from Rfam.